This 616-nucleotide ribosomal RNA is filed under the name uncultured Verrucomicrobiota bacterium. RNAcentral describes it as "bacterial SSU rRNA". It matches the Rfam family "Bacterial small subunit ribosomal RNA", at positions 84 to 680 of the family's 1533-position model. The record is from RNAcentral. Lineage: Bacteria; Pseudomonadati; Verrucomicrobiota.
GGUUAGUUGGAGCGGCGCAAGGGUGCGUAACACGUGGGUAAUCUGCCAUGAAGUUUGGGAUAACUCGCUGAAAGGCGAGCUAAUACCGGAUGUGACGAUUGGAAGGCAUCUUCUGAUCUUCAAAGUUGGGGACCGUAAGGCCUGACGCUUCAUGAUGAGCCCGCGGCCUAUCAGCUAGUUGGUGAGGUAACGGCUCACCAAGGCUAAGACGGGUAGCUGGUCUGAGAGGACGACCAGCCACACUGGAACUGAGACACGGUCCAGACACCUACGGGUGGCAGCAGUCGAGAAUUUUUCACAAUGGGGGAAACCCUGAUGGAGCGACGCCGCGUGGGGGAUGAAUGGCUUCGGCCCGUAAACCCCUGUCAUUCGCGAACAAUGCCUGUGUAUUAACACCAUACAGGUUGAUAGUAGCGGAAGAGGAAGGGACGGCUAACUCUGUGCCAGCAGCCGCGGUAAUACAGAGGUCCCAAGCGUUGUUCGGAUUCACUGGGCGUAAAGGGUGCGUAGGCGGUCGGGUAAGUCUGAUGUGAAAUCUCACAGCUUAACUGUGAAACUGCAUUGGAUACUAUUCGGCUUGAGGUCUGGAGGGGGGACUGGAAUUCUCGGUGUAGCA